CGGACGGGUGAGUAACACGUGGAUAACCUACCUAUAAGACUGGGAUAACUUCGGGAAACCGUAGCUAAUACCGGAUAAUAUAUUGAACCGCAUGGUUCAAUAGUGAAAGACGGUUUUGCUGUCACUUAUAGAUGGAUCCGCGCCGCAUUAGCUAGUUGGUAAGGUAACGGCUUACCAAGGCAACGAUGCGUAGCCGACCUGAGAGGGUGAUCGGCCACACUGGAACUGAGACACGGUCCAG
This 241-nucleotide ribosomal RNA is filed under the name uncultured Staphylococcus sp. RNAcentral's name for it is "partial 16S ribosomal RNA". It matches the Rfam family "Bacterial small subunit ribosomal RNA", at positions 99 to 334 of the family's 1533-position model. Lineage: Bacteria; Bacillati; Bacillota; Bacilli; Caryophanales; Staphylococcaceae. The record is from RNAcentral.